GUCACAAUACUGGCUCUACUGUCCUGCCUAGAAACUUUUGUGGAAGGAGAUUCCAGCACGAUUGAACACCCAGGUCCCAAUGCCUCUCCUGAAAAAAGAGCAAAUUACUACUUCCAAUGUUAUAGACAAUUCCGUAGGAAACGGCCUCAAAGUAGGGACAUUAUGGACACAGAAGCCCAGCUAGCUGAGAGGCUGGAGACAGCAGAGGAAACCAGAAGCAGAAGUCUGGGUAAGAAGAACUUUAUGUUUGAUGAUGGUUUCAACUUCUGAUGGAUCUCAUUUGCAUACCAGAGAAGGUCCCACCUGACCAGGACUCCCGGCUCCAAUGAACCUGAUCCUCCCAUUUUG
RNAcentral lists this long non-coding RNA (348 nucleotides) under Sarcophilus harrisii (Tasmanian devil). RNAcentral's name for it is "lncRNA (ENSSHAG00000021737.1)". The record is from RNAcentral. Lineage: Eukaryota; Metazoa; Chordata; Mammalia; Dasyuromorphia; Dasyuridae.